RNAcentral lists this ribosomal RNA (1046 nucleotides) under Chryseobacterium gregarium. RNAcentral's name for it is "bacterial SSU rRNA". It matches the Rfam family "Bacterial small subunit ribosomal RNA", at positions 384 to 1435 of the family's 1533-position model. The record is from RNAcentral. Lineage: Bacteria; Pseudomonadati; Bacteroidota; Flavobacteriia; Flavobacteriales; Weeksellaceae.
UGAUCCAGCCAUCCCGCGUGAAGGACGACGGCCCUAUGGGUUGUAAACUUCUUUUGUAUAGGGAUAAACCUUUCCACGUGUGGAAAGCUGAAGGUACUAUACGAAUAAGCACCGGCUAACUCCGUGCCAGCAGCCGCGGUAAUACGGAGGGUGCAAGCGUUAUCCGGAUUUAUUGGGUUUAAAGGGUCCGUAGGCGGACUCGUAAGUCAGUGGUGAAAUCUCAUAGCUUAACUAUGAAACUGCCAUUGAUACUGCGGGUCUUGAGUAAGGUAGAGGUAGCUGGAAUAAGUAGUGUAGCGGUGAAAUGCAUAGAUAUUACUUAGAACACCAAUUGCGAAGGCAGGUUACCAUGUCUUAACUGACGCUGAUGGACGAAAGCGUGGGGAGCGAACAGGAUUAGAUACCCUGGUAGUCCACGCCGUAAACGAUGCUAACUCGUUUUUGGGCUUUAGGGUUCAGAGACUAAGCGAAAGUGAUAAGUUAGCCACCUGGGGAGUACGAACGCAAGUUUGAAACUCAAAGGAAUUGACGGGGGCCCGCACAAGCGGUGGAUUAUGUGGUUUAAUUCGAUGAUACGCGAGGAACCUUACCAAGGCUUAAAUGGGAAUUGAUUGGUUUAGAAAUAGAUCGUCCUUCGGGCAAUUUUCAAGGUGCUGCAUGGUUGUCGUCAGCUCGUGCCGUGAGGUGUUAGGUUAAGUCCUGCAACGAGCGCAACCCCUGUCACUAGUUGCUAACAUUCAGUUGAGGACUCUAGUGAGACUGCCUACGCAAGUAGAGAGGAAGGUGGGGAUGACGUCAAAUCAUCACGGCCCUUACGCCUUGGGCCACACACGUAAUACAAUGGCCGGUACAGAGGGCAGCUACACAGCGAUGUGAUGCAAAUCUCGAAAGCCGGUCUCAGUUCGGAUUGGAGUCUGCAACUCGACUCUAUGAAGCUGGAAUCGCUAGUAAUCGCGCAUCAGCCAUGGCGCGGUGAAUACGUUCCCGGGCCUUGUACACACCGCCCGUCAAGCCAUGGAAGUCUGGGGUACCUGAAGUCGGUGACC